AGGCUGCAACUCGCCUGCAUGAAGUUGGAAUUGCUAGUAAUCGCGAAUCAGAAUGUCGCGGUGAAUACGUUCCCGGGCCUUGUACACACCGUCCGUCACACCAUGAGAGCCGAUAACACCCGAAGCCUGUGAGCUAACCGUAAGGGGGCAGCAGUCGAAGGUGGGGUUGGUGAUUGGGGUGAAGUCGUAACAAGGUAGC
This 199-nucleotide ribosomal RNA is filed under the name uncultured bacterium. RNAcentral's name for it is "partial 16S ribosomal RNA". It matches the Rfam family "Bacterial small subunit ribosomal RNA", at positions 1302 to 1500 of the family's 1533-position model. The record is from RNAcentral.